UACGUAGGUGGCGAGCGUUAUCCGGAUUUAUUGGGCGUAAAGCGUGCGCAGGCGGCUUAUUAAGUCUAAGAUUAAAGCCCGGAGCUUAACUCCGGUUCGUCUUAGAAACUGGUAGGCUUGAGUAUGGUAGAGGCAAACGGAAUUCCUAGUGUAGCGGUGGAAUGCGUAGAUAUUAGGAGGAACACCAGUGGCGAAGGCGGUUUGCUGGGCCAUUACUGACGCUCAUGCACGAAAGCGUGGGGAGCAAAUAG
This 251-nucleotide ribosomal RNA is filed under the name uncultured bacterium. RNAcentral describes it as "partial 16S ribosomal RNA". It matches the Rfam family "Bacterial small subunit ribosomal RNA", at positions 524 to 775 of the family's 1533-position model. The record is from RNAcentral.